UCAUGACCCCGGGUGCUGUCACACCUUCUCCUUCCUUCCGGGCUCUUGUGUGCAGAACCGGUGCUGCGGAGCUCCAGGACCAACGUGCUGUAGCGGCAGGUCGUGAUUGGCCGGACCAGAGCGGGCGGAAGCAAACACACGCACGUGUUCCACAUCUGCACCUGGACCAGGCUUUGGACCUCACCUGGAACACCCGACACCCUGGGAAGAACUCUGACGUGGACAAGGUCGCAGCCGGAAGCACGCAGGAAGUGGACGGAUGGAGAAGGUGACGCCUGCAGGACAACAGGAAGUCAACAAGGCGCUGAGUGCAGGUUGAUGAUGUUUGGGAGCAGGAGGCGGUUGCCAUGGAGACCAACCUGAACGGAGGCGAGGUCGUGUUGCUCCAUGCUGGGAGACGGUCAGAGAUAGGACAGCAAGACCAGACGGGACAGGUAUUGUCCGCACUUUGCAGUGGGACUGGCUGAACUCGACACAAACAUAUUUUAGUCUGGACACUUUUUUUUUUUUUUUUCAACGCUUACAUCUCUAGAUCAACUUCAGAUAUAAAGUUGUAUUUAUUUUACGUUUUAUAACAAGAAAAGCUUUUUUUUUUUUUUACUGCAAAAACACAAAAUAUGCAACAUUUUCCAUCAAAACAAUUUCAAAGUGGUAUAUUUGUGAAGUAUAAAUAGACCAAUAAUUCACAACAUUG
Molecule: long non-coding RNA, 694 nt
Organism: Entelurus aequoreus (snake pipefish)
Lineage: Eukaryota; Metazoa; Chordata; Actinopteri; Syngnathiformes; Syngnathidae
Exons: 3
Source: RefSeq, a predicted model, not a curated record